GAUUUAGCACAAUGGAACCGGAUUCGAAUUGCUCCGUCGGUACUAGUGAACUCCCACUCAAAAAUCCCAUGCCACCGCUGCGGCGGUCGCCGCCUUCACCGCCUAAUCCUCAUAUCCCCUCUGCCAAGUUGAUCUCCUUCCCCAACGUUGAUGUCUUCGGCAAACUAACUACCAAUCAGCUUAAUGUUCUCAUCUUCCAGUAUUUUCAGGCAAAAGGUUUCAAACACGCUGCAUUUGCAUUUGAAAACGAAGCAAAGAUUGAGAAAAUUCCAAUUGAUGAAAGCACAAUUGGCAAUGGUGCUCUUCCUUCAUUUGUACAUAAAGGUCUUCGAUACACACAACUGGAGGCAAACAUCCAUGCAAGUGAUGCUAAUUCUUUUGUUGAGUGCUAUCGCCUUGAACCUCUGGAUGUUAUCACAAACAGUGCACAUGAAUUAUCAAAAAUCAUAAAGAAUAUGAAAGAAAAUACCAUGUGGAAGAGAAAACACAUUGACUAUAGUGUAUCUAACCAAGAGCAAGAAAGCAACAAACAAGAAAGAAAAAUUGCUGUUUAUGGAGGUCUUCAGAUUCAAUAGAAACGAUAUGGGAAUUUUCUAAUGACCUCUCCACUAUUUAUAAUUCAAAUCCGGAUGUGCGUUAUCUAAUUCAUCCUGAUGCAAAAAAUAAUGGACUAGGUGGUGUCAGUGCACUUGCUUAGAACGGAGAAGGAGAGCUACUUGCAAUAGGAUCGUUUGAUGGACUGGCAAGUAUCUGGAGUAAGAACGAUCGAUUGCUUGGUGUUGCAUGGAGUAACAAUACUUCAUUUGCUGCAAGUUCAAGGGACAAUAGAAUUUUUGUUUACAACAUCGGAGAGCCUCAGCUAGUCAAUACCUUUUAUGGAU
This is an RNA transcript of Dioscorea cayenensis subsp. rotundata (Guinea yam), 881 nucleotides long. It is a transcript of the gene named WD40 repeat-containing protein HOS15-like, with no coding region annotated. The record is from RefSeq and is a predicted model, not a curated record. The transcript has 6 exons. Lineage: Eukaryota; Viridiplantae; Streptophyta; Magnoliopsida; Dioscoreales; Dioscoreaceae.